UAAAAAAAUAUUAUUAUAUUUGUUUGAAAAGUUAAUUUUUUAAUAAAAUCAAUUUUAUUGAAUAAAAAUUUUAGUAAAGGUUAUUGAAAAAAUAAUUAAAAUUAUAAUUAAAUAGUAUUGUAAAAGAAAAUUGAAAUAUUUGAAAAUAAAUUAAUUUCAAAGUAAAUUUUAAGUAUUGUACCUUGUGUAUCAGGGUUUAUUAAUUAAAAUAUAAGAAUUUAUAUUUCCCGAUUUUAAGAGAUCUAAUAAGAUAUAUUAGUUUACGUAUUAUAGUAAUUAAGAAUAUUUUAUUUGAAAUGAAACGUUAUUCGUUCUUAAAUAUAUCUGGUUUUUUAAGAAAUAAAUUUAAUUUAUGUAAUAAAAAAUAUUUAUUUAUUUAUUGUAAUAAAUAAUUUUUAUUACAAAUAUUUUAAGGGAUUAGCUUUAAAAUAAAAUCUAUAAUAAUUAUUUAAAUAUAAAAUUUAUAGGCUUAGAAAUAGUCAUUAAUAAAAAAAAUGUUAUAAUUUAUUUUAUAAUUUAAAAUUAUUUUUAUAUAUUUAGAUUUUUUAUUAAAAUAUAAUUUAUAAUUAUAAUAAAUUAAAAAUAAUGAUAAAAUUAGUAUAAUUAUUUGUAUAGGUAUCAUUAAUUUAUAGAUUAAAUUAAGGAACUCGGCAAAUUAAUGCUCGCCUGUUUAACAAAAACAUGUCUUUUUGAAUAUAAUUUAAAGUCUAAUCUGCCCACUGAAAUUUUAAAGGGCCGCGGUAUUUUGACCGUGCAAAGGUAGCAUAAUAAUUAGUCUUUUAAUUGAGGGCUAGAAUGAAUGAUUGAACGAGGUAUUAACUGUCUCAAUUUAAAUGAAAUUUGAAUUUAACUUUUAAGUCAAAAGGCUUAAAUUUAAUUAAAGGACGAGAAGACCCUAUAGAGCUUUAUAUUUAUAUAAUAAUUAAUUUAUAGUAAUUUUUAAUUUUUAUUAAAUAAAAUAUUUUGUUGGGGUGACAAGAAGAUUUAAAAAACUCUUUUUAUUUUUAAACAUAAAUUAAUGAAUUAUUGAUCCAUUUUUAGUGAUUAAAAGACUAAGUUACCUUAGGGAUAACAGCGUAAUCUUUUUUAAGAGUUCUUAUCGACAAAAAGGGUUGCGACCUCGAUGUUGGAUUAAGGGUUAUUUUUGGGUGUAGAAGUUCAAAGUUUAGGUCUGUUCGACCUUUGAAUCCUUACAUGAUCUGAGUUCAGACCGGCGUAAGCCAGGUCGGUUUCUAUCCUUAAUUAUAUAAAAAUAUUUUAGUACGAAAGGACCAAAUAUUUAGAAUAAUUCUUUUUAAUUGAAUAUUAAUAAU
Molecule: ribosomal RNA, 1313 nt
Filed under: Neopanorpa lui
Lineage: Eukaryota; Metazoa; Arthropoda; Insecta; Mecoptera; Panorpidae
Description: 16S ribosomal RNA
Rfam family: Archaeal large subunit ribosomal RNA (bases 878-1242)
Source: RNAcentral